Oryza sativa Japonica Group (Japanese rice) is the source of this 1325-nucleotide long non-coding RNA. RefSeq lists it as uncharacterized. The record is from RefSeq and is a predicted model, not a curated record. Lineage: Eukaryota; Viridiplantae; Streptophyta; Magnoliopsida; Poales; Poaceae.
UGAUGAUCUGCUUCAUCCAAUCAUCCAUCAUCCAAUCCAGGCAUCUAGCCCUCUUUUCUUCUUUAAUUCCUCUCCAUCCAAACAGUUGUUCUUGGCAUGCACACCCAUCACCCAUGAUUAGAUCAGAUGUUCAGAUCAGUUCCUCUCUUUUUUUUCUGGAUACAUGCAUGCAUGCAUACAAACACACCACACCAUCUGAUUUCAAGCUUUUGUAUCCCUCCUUCAUCAUCUAUCAUUCAUGCUUUCUCCUUUUGUUUCUCAUGCUGCUGGUGUCCACUGAAUUCUUCCACACAAAAGCUGGCCAUUCAAAGCUUUUUCCCUCCUUUUUCUUCCUCACCUCUUUAUUGAUUAUGUCUAAUUUUUGCCCUAUCCUCUGCUGCAUCAGCAGCACAGCCUCACACACACUACUAGUACUAAAUUGCAAAAGAAAGUGAUUGCUUUCGCACACAGCCUCCUCCUCCUCCUCUCGUCUCCUACUGCAGCUCACUGCCUUCCACUCAUGGUCACCUCCUCAGCUCAGAGUGGUCGCUUGCACUUACAGCAUCAGCAUCACCGAGAAUAAUGGCGGCGACGACGGCGCCCUCGUUGCCAGGGUACGAGGUGUCCGGCGCCGCCGCCGCGGCGACCCGGCUUCACGGCUCGCCGGGGUCGGUCGGCGCGUUCUUGGCGGUGCUCGCCGCCGUGGUGGCGGUGACCGUCCUGUCCUGCGUCGUCGGACAGGCGUGCGCGGCGCGGGCCGAGGGGCCCGACGAGCGGUACGACUGCGCGGGGCUCGCCGGCCGGAGAUGGUGGCUGCGGCGGUGGCGGCGGGAGCCUCGCCGGCCGGUCAGGCCGGCGGCGGAGGAGGAGGUGGAGGUGAAGCAGCCGGCCGCAUAGCCGGUGCCGGAGCCGUGACCACGAGACACGCUUGCAGGUGAAGAUCGACAACAUAUAACUGAAGCACAUUUCAAAGCAAGAUCCAAGAACUUAAACUUGACAUCAUCUUCCAAGGCAUAUGUUAAAGAUUUACCAUCAAUGAUCAGUGCAAAGGAUUCAGUAUUUGAUUGACUUGGGGGUGGAAUCUGUUUGAUUCCAUCCUCUAUUUGAUCCAUUACCCUUUGCUUUGAUUCCUGGAGAGCCAAUAAAGAGUAAACUAUCAAGAUUUUAAAUUUCUAUUACAACGUGUAUAAAUAUAACUGCCUGUUUCGUUACACCUACAAUUUUUUUCAACAUUUGGGCGCUCUUGGAGAGAAUAUUAUCAUCCCAAAUUACAGUUCUUCUAUAAAUAAAACACUUAAUAUCUAAUGAUUCAAAAAAUAAUGGUAAUGCAAUGAUUUACCCACCCU